AGAUAUUUUUGGUGAGAUCUAGUAUAGAUUGCAGUAUCCUUUGUGAUGAUUUUGCUCUCUAAUUGAGUUGUUGGUCUAGAUUACAUUGGUGUAAUCGAUUUGAGAGAAAACAAGUGUGUUUUCUGGGUUUGAGGGCUAAAUCUUUAGAUCUUGUGUUGUAAUUCUUAAACACUUGAUAUUAUUGUUGCUAGUAUAUUUGUGGUGUAUGCAAAAUGUUCCAUUAUAGAGAGAAGAGAGCUUUGGGAGUGGCUAAUAGGUGGAGAUUUGAAAGUAAUAUUAUCAAGAUAAGAGAGAGAAUGUGGUAAUCAACCUUUAAUCAGAUUAAUGGAGGAUUUUUCAGCUAUGUUAAUGGACACUGGAGUGGAUGAAUUUCCUAUUGAUGGCAGUAAAUUCACAUGGUCCAGUGGUAGAAUACGUUGAAAUGCUUGACAAAAUUUUUGUUAAAUCAGACCGGAUGGAUGCGUUUAAGAACUUUCAAGCUCAGGUCGUUAAUAGGGAC
RNAcentral lists this long non-coding RNA (499 nucleotides) under Olea europaea subsp. europaea. Lineage: Eukaryota; Viridiplantae; Streptophyta; Magnoliopsida; Lamiales; Oleaceae. The record is from RNAcentral.